RNAcentral lists this transfer RNA (70 nucleotides) under Dipodomys ordii (Ord's kangaroo rat). It matches the Rfam family "tRNA". Rfam says of the family: Transfer RNA (tRNA) molecules are approximately 80 nucleotides in length. Their secondary structure includes four short double-helical elements and three loops (D, anti-codon, and T loops). Further hydrogen bonds mediate the characteristic L-shaped molecular structure. tRNAs have two regions of fundamental functional importance: the anti-codon, which is responsible for specific mRNA codon recognition, and the 3' end, to which the tRNAs corresponding amino acid is attached (by aminoacyl-tRNA synthetases). tRNAs cope with the degeneracy of the genetic code in two manners: having more than one tRNA (with a specific anti-codon) for a particular amino acid; and 'wobble' base-pairing, i.e. permitting non-standard base-pairing at the 3rd anti-codon position. The record is from Rfam by way of RNAcentral. Lineage: Eukaryota; Metazoa; Chordata; Mammalia; Rodentia; Heteromyidae.
GGGAAGGUGGCUCCGCGGUAGAGCGCUUGCCUGGCAAGCAUGAGGCCCUAGGUUCGAUUCCUCAGUACCA